Molecule: ribosomal RNA, 301 nt
Filed under: uncultured bacterium
Lineage: Bacteria
Description: partial 16S ribosomal RNA
Rfam family: Bacterial small subunit ribosomal RNA
Source: RNAcentral
CAGUAGCCACGGUAAUACGUAGGGUGCGAGCGUUAAUCGGAAUUACUGGGCGUAAAGCGUGCGCAGGCGGUUGUGUAAGACAGGUGUGAAAUCCCCGGGCUUAACCUGGGAACUGCGCUUGUGACUGCACAGCUAGAGUAUGGCAGAGGGGGGUGGAAUUCCACGUGUAGCAGUGAAAUGCGUAGAGAUGUGGAGGAACACCGAUGGCGAAGGCAGCCCCCUGGGCCAAUACUGACGCUCAUGCACGAAAGCGUGGGGAGCAAACAGGAUUAGAUACCCAGUAGUCCCUGUCUCUUAUACC